RNAcentral lists this ribosomal RNA (371 nucleotides) under uncultured bacterium. RNAcentral describes it as "bacterial SSU rRNA". It matches the Rfam family "Bacterial small subunit ribosomal RNA", at positions 527 to 896 of the family's 1533-position model. The record is from RNAcentral.
AGAGGUGGCAAGCGUUGUUCGGAAUUACUGGGCGUAAAGGGCGCGUAGGCGGUCUCGCAAGUCCUGUGUGAAAUCCCCCGGCUCAACUGGGGAACUGCACAGGAAACUGCUUGGCUUGAGUUCGGGAGAGGGAAGCGGAAUUCCGGGUGUAGCGGUGAAAUGCGUAGAUAUCCGGAGGAACACCGGUGGCGAAGGCGGCUUCCUGGACCGACACUGACGCUGAGGCGCGAAAGCUAGGGGAGCAAACGGGAUUAGAUACCCCGGUAGUCCUAGCUGUAAACGAUGAGUGCUGGGUGUAGGGGGUAUUAACCCCCCCUGUGCCGAAGCUAACGCAUUAAGCACUCCGCCUGGGGAGUACGGUCGCAAGGCUG